This 544-nucleotide ribosomal RNA is filed under the name Fusarium sp. Fataf-9. RNAcentral describes it as "eukaryotic LSU rRNA". The stretch from base 179 to 332 matches the Rfam family "5.8S ribosomal RNA". The record is from RNAcentral. Lineage: Eukaryota; Fungi; Ascomycota; Sordariomycetes; Hypocreales; Nectriaceae.
UCCGUAGGUGAACCUGCGGAGGGAUCAUUACCGAGUUUACAACUCCCAAACCCCUGUGAACAUACCACUUGUUGCCUCGGCGGAUCAGCCCGCUCCCGGUAAAACGGGACGGCCCGCCAGAGGACCCCUAAACUCUGUUUCUAUAUGUAACUUCUGAGUAAAACUAUAAAUAAAUCAAAACUUUCAACAACGGAUCUCUUGGUUCUGGCAUCGAUGAAGAACGCAGCAAAAUGCGAUAAGUAAUGUGAAUUGCAGAAUUCAGUGAAUCAUCGAAUCUUUGAACGCACAUUGCGCCCGCCAGUAUUCUGGCGGGCAUGCCUGUUCGAGCGUCAUUUCAACCCUCAAGCACAGCUUGGUGUUGGGACUCGCGUUAAUUCGCGUUCCCCAAAUUGAUUGGCGGUCACGUCGAGCUUCCAUAGCGUAGUAGUAAAACCCUCGUUACUGGUAAUCGUCGCGGCCACGCCGUUAAACCCCAACUUCUGAAUGUUGACCUCGGAUCAGGUAGGAAUACCCGCUGAACUUAAGCAUAUCAAUAAGCGGAGGA